GAAUUCUGUUUUUCCUCCUGGUCAACAGGAGCUUUGUACUGAAAAGGAAAUUUAAAAGUCUAAAAAAUGCACCAAAGUCAAUUUUGGAUUAUUGUCCUUUUCUGCAGUCUUAUUUUCUCUUCAUUCUCCCAGACUCCAGUUGUACAAAAUGCAGCAUCUAUUGUUCAGCCAUCUCCUGCACAUGUGGGACAGCAGGGCUUAUCCAAGCUUCCCUCCCGGCCUGGAGCACAAGGGGAACCUCAAAAUUUGAGAACAUUACAGGUAUGUGAUACAUAGUAGGAUCUUAGUGUUGGAGUACCCUGCCUAUCCUCUUCUGUUUUUUCUUCUCUAGAGAAUCUCUAACUUCUCUAGAGAGGGUUCAUACUUUUUCUAACUGUCCAGCCAUAUAGAAUUAGUUUAUACCAAACAGCCAAGGACUUUCUAGCCACUAAUGAGCAUUUAGAGAGUUGAUAAUUUCAUCUAAGUCUCUAUAGGAUAAAUUUAUCAAGUCUGUCUUACGUUCCAGUGGUUUUAUUCAGUUUUGAAUUAUAGACUGUGUUUUCCCGUUUGCAUUUUAUGGAGCAUUAUACUACCUGUGACUGGUUCUUUUCCUCAUCUUCCCCUUCAGGGUCAUAGUGUCAUCCGUUCAGCGACCAAUACCACCCUUCCACACAUGUUGAUGUCUCAACGUGUUAUCGCACCAAAUCCAGCCCAGCUACAGGGUCAACGGGGGCCGCCUAAGCCUGGCCUUGUACGUACCACAACACCCAAUAUGAAUCCCGCCAUCAAUUAUCAACCGGUAAGAAAGAGCCCUACCUAAUGUGGAAACAGAAAUUUUUUAUUUGCUUUUCUUGUUGAAUGGGCCAAAGGUUUUUAGUUUUUGUACAUAGAGAAACAAGGUUGAUUUAGGUGGAGCUUGAAUAGAAUUCAUUUUCCAAAGUGGAAGCUUUGAGGAGUUAUGAAAAUAGUAGUGGGGAAAAAAAGAUAGCUUAUAUAGCAGAGCUGAAUUAGCGAAAAAUCUGCUUAAGAGAAAGAAAUGGACCUAGGUAAAAAAAAGCACAAGGAAGCAUGACAGAAUCCCAUUUUUUCCUCUUUUGUCAGUUUAGCUCAUAAUCAUCAUCAUCCUUUUUUCCUAUAUGCCAGAGUUCUCUUUCAAUGAAUAAGUUGAAUACUUUGUAUUUUGAGGAAAUGAAGCAGUCCAGACGAGGAUCAGAUAUUAACCUUUGAUAAAAAGCAAGAAUUGGUCUCCCACAUACCAACCGUCACUGAUACAUCAUCUCAAUCUGUUUCAGCAGUCAAGUUCUUCUGUUCCCUGUCAGCGCACAACAUCCUCCGCUAUCUAUAUGAACCUUGCCUCCCAUAUCCAGCCAGGAACCGUGAACAGAGUGUCCUCACCACUUCCUAGCCCCAGCGCCAUGACCGAUGCUGCCAACUCACAGGCUGCAGCCAAAUUGGCCCUUCGCAAACAGCUGGAAAAGACACUCCUGGAGAUCCCACCUCCAAAACCUCCUGCUCCCUUGCUUCACUUCCUGCCUAGUGCAGCCAAUAGUGAGUUCAUCUACAUGGUAGGCUUGGAAGAAGUCGUACAGAGUGUCAUUGACAGCCAAGGUAAGA
This 1593-nucleotide long non-coding RNA is filed under the name Marmota monax (woodchuck). The record is from RNAcentral. Lineage: Eukaryota; Metazoa; Chordata; Mammalia; Rodentia; Sciuridae.